RNAcentral lists this ribosomal RNA (497 nucleotides) under uncultured bacterium. RNAcentral's name for it is "partial 16S ribosomal RNA". It matches the Rfam family "Bacterial small subunit ribosomal RNA", at positions 28 to 507 of the family's 1533-position model. The record is from RNAcentral.
GAUGAACGCUGGCGGCGUGCCUAAUACAUGCAAGUAGAACGCUGAAGGAAGGAGCUUGCUCUUUCCGGAUGAGUUGCGAACGGGUGAGUAACGCGUAGGUAACCUGCCUGGUAGCGGGGGAUAACUAUUGGAAACGAUAGCUAAUACCGCAUAACAGUAGAUGUUGCAUGAUAUCUACUUAAAAGGUGCAAUUGCACCACUACCAGAUGGACCUGCGUUGUAUUAGCUAGUUGGUGAGGUAACGGCUCUCCCAGGCGACGAUACAUAGCCGACCUGAGAGGGUGAAUGGCCAAACUGGGAAGGGGACAAGGCCCAGACCCCCAAGGGAGGCAGCAGUAAGGAAUCUUCCGCAAUGGACGGAAGUCUAACCGAGCAACGCCGCGUGAGUGAAGAAGGGUUUCGGAACGUAAAGCUCUGUUGUAAGAGAAGAACGAGUGGGAGAGUGGAAAGUGCACACUGUGACGGUAUCUUACCAGAAAGGGACGGCUAACUACGUG